GCCCUACGGGAGGCAGCAGUGGGGAAUUUUGGACAAUGGGCGCAAGCCUGAUCCAGCCAUGCCGCGUGCAGGAAGAAGGCCUUCGGGUUGUAAACUGCUUUUGUCAGGGAAGAAAUCCUCUGGGUUAAUACCUCGGAGGGAUGACAGUACCUGAAGAAUAAGCACCGGCUAACUACGUGCCAGCAGCCGCGGUAAUACGUAGGGUGCGAGCGUUAAUCGGAAUUACUGGGCGUAAAGCGUGCGCAGGCGGCUUUGGAAGACAGAUGGGAAAUCCCCGGGCUCAACCGGGGAACUGCUUUUGUGACUGCAAGGCUAGAGUGCGGCAGAGGGAGAUGGAAUUCCGCGUGUAGCAGUGAAAUGCGUAGAUAUGCGGAGGAACACCGAUGGCGAAGGCAAUCUCCUGGGCCUGCACUGACGCUCAUGCACGAAAGCGUGGGGAGCAAACAGGAUUAGAUACCCCAGUAGUCC
RNAcentral lists this ribosomal RNA (468 nucleotides) under uncultured Comamonadaceae bacterium. RNAcentral describes it as "bacterial SSU rRNA". It matches the Rfam family "Bacterial small subunit ribosomal RNA", at positions 335 to 796 of the family's 1533-position model. Lineage: Bacteria; Pseudomonadati; Pseudomonadota; Betaproteobacteria; Burkholderiales; Comamonadaceae. The record is from RNAcentral.